CCAAUUUUUAGCUUUUUAUACCAGCUUGUAUUGGAUUCAGUUUUGUUUGAGCCAUUGAUUGUCUUAGUGAUAUUUUAUGAAAUAAUUGUAUUAGUCUUUUUACACUCAUCUGUAGCGAUUAUUUUGGUCGGCAUGUCCCCUGUUUGUAUGUUCUGUUGUAUCAGGUAAAUAAUCCGAAAGAAAUAACUAUGGUGUAUAAUUCUGCAAUAAUUUCUACCAAGCAUCUAAAGUUGACAGUUUUACCAUUUUCCGGAAAUCCAAUGUCAAUAAACUACCUUAAAUUAAGUGCAAUCUAGAGCCUCUAGGGUGGUUUAGUUUAGAAGCUAAAUUCAUGGUAACAUUCAGGAUCGUCCGUUGUUUGCUAUGAAUUUACGAC
RNAcentral lists this long non-coding RNA (376 nucleotides) under Nicotiana benthamiana. RNAcentral describes it as "long non-coding RNA (NBEN_LNC002071)". Lineage: Eukaryota; Viridiplantae; Streptophyta; Magnoliopsida; Solanales; Solanaceae. The record is from RNAcentral.